UAUCUCUGUAGAGUCUGCAUAUCAAUAAGCGGAGGAAAAGAAACUAACAAGGAUUCCCUUAGUAACGGCGAGUGAAGCGGGAAGAGCUCAAAUUUGAAGUCUUCAAGGUUCUACCUUGACGAAUUGUAGUUUAAAGAAGUGUUUUCGGUUAGAGGAGUAGUAAAAGUUCUUUGGAAUAGGACAUCAUAGAGGGUGAGAAUCCCGUAUUUGACUAUUCUUUCUAGCUUUGUGAUACACUUUCAACGAGUCGGAUUGUUUGGGAAUGCAGUCCAAAAUGGGUGGUAAAUUUCAUCUAAAGCUAAAUAUUGGCGAGAGACCGAUAGCGAACAAGUACCGUGAGGGAAAGAUGAAAAGAACUUUGAAAAGAGAGUUAAACAGUACGUGAAAUUGUCAAAAGGGAAGCGUUUGACACCAGUGUUGUUUUUCCGAAAAUCAAUUACGAAUGUUUUGUUUUUGAGAAGUUAUGACUUCAUCGGCUUGCUUCUUUCUUUACGAAACUUUCUUAAUGCACUUUUCGGUUAACAAGUCAACAUCAAUUUCUUUUGUUGUAAAAGGGUACUGAGGAAGGUGGCUUUCUUUUCGGAGAAAGUGUUUAUAGCCUUGUGCCUCUGCAAUCGGAGAGAUUGAGGUCUGCAGCGUAGAUCCUUCGGGGUUAGAUACAUUUGUGCUAAGUUAUAGCUUUUCAUAGACAACUUGUUGACUAUGUUUAGUCUUGUAGCUUACUCGCUUAUGCUAUUUUACCUACGCUUAGGAUGUUGACGCAUGAGAUAUACGC
This 775-nucleotide ribosomal RNA is filed under the name uncultured Neocallimastigales. Its description in RNAcentral is "partial large subunit ribosomal RNA". It matches the Rfam family "Eukaryotic large subunit ribosomal RNA", at positions 24 to 647 of the family's 3401-position model. The record is from RNAcentral. Lineage: Eukaryota; Fungi; Neocallimastigomycota; Neocallimastigomycetes; Neocallimastigales.